Molecule: long non-coding RNA, 1817 nt
Organism: Taeniopygia guttata (zebra finch)
Lineage: Eukaryota; Metazoa; Chordata; Aves; Passeriformes; Estrildidae
Source: Ensembl
CACAAAGCAUUAGGAUUUCUGCCCCAUGGAAAGGAAAUAAAUUCUCUGUGUUUUUUUCUCUCAUAAACACAGAAUUGGUGCUACUCUUGUGGUCCCUGAGGGAAAGAGAUGCCUUUGGGAUGAAUGAGACAUGCAGACCCACAUGAAUGCAUCUACCCUUGUUACAGGCUGUUCCCACUUUUCUCUGUUUUGGGCGGAAAAUAUACUUUUUUAGUCUAGUUUCUGGGGCAAAGGUCCUGCCAAAUCCCCAGAUCAAUCCCUCACCACAUAUCUCUCAGAAAUAUCACUUUUUUGUGAUUUUUUUUUUUCCCUCCCAAAAUGUGAUUUUUCUCUGAAUUUUUCUGUGAGGGACCCCAGCCAACCCAUGACCAGCUGGAGUACCCACCACCACAUCCCCUGCUUCAUGGAUUUGGGGGCAACCACAUUUGCUGCAGAGGGGCACGGGCCAGCCUUAAAGAGAGGUGAGCAAAGCCAUAGGUGGGAAAGGCCGAGGGCCAAGGGGGAAAAGACUGACCUGGAAAGGUCUUACUGGAGGUGGUGAUGGGCAGGCACAAUCUUUUUGUCCACUCCUAGAGGACAAAGGGAAGAUGUGCAGAGAUGGAUACUGAGUGUCCUGACAUGACAGGAAGCUGUGGCAGAUGAAGGGUAGUGGUACACUCACACCAGAGGCAGGAAAGGCAUGAUAGGCUGGGACGGCAGGGGAAUGCUGCCUUAUAUAUGAAAGGGAGCACAAGGUCAAUUGGGUUAGCAAAUUGAGGUUGUCAGCAGCUUGGAUAAAAUCUCUCUGAAUUGACGUGCCAGUCCCCACUCAGUGUUCUCAUGUUCAGCUUGAGGUUGUCCGCUGCUGGACCACGAUGGCAGCAGACACUGUAAGGAAUCAGAGGGGUUCUGAGGACAGAGGGAAGAGCUGUUAAUUUGCCCAUGUUGACAGCAUCUUUGGUAGCUUUGUGGAGGCAGAGAGCCUGCUAAGGGAAAAAUACAAACAUGGGGAAACUUUCAUUAAAGAGCAGAGUUGUCUGCAAACUCCUUCCUUUCACAAUGUUGCAUCUUAAGUGAGAACUAAGGAAUUAGGCAAUUUCCAUGAACCUUUGUGCUCAGAGUGGCUUGGGACCAACUCUUAAACAAAUUUCAAAUCACUAUUUGCCUAUUAAUUUCCUCUGCUGGGCUCAGACUGGACUCAGGGAAAAGGCACUUGUACUUCAUGGGCACCAGCUAGUAAAUUUACCUGCACAGAAAGGUAAGGUACUUCACCUUCAAAAUGGGUCCUUAAGCACAUGCCUGACUUUGUUUUGGGUGGUUCUUCUGCACAGCCUCUGUCUGGUCCCUGAACAAAUGCGCAGCUGCAUCUCAAGUUGCAAACACCAACUCUUGUGAAUGCUUAACAAGCUGUGCUCAGGGUAAUAUUCUCUGCAUCACUCUUUUCAGUAAAACUGAAACAAACUGCAAGGCAAGAUGAUGGCUGUGCUGGAGACAUUGCAGGGCAGCUAAAUAGUAACUUGGACUUAUUUUCCUAUCCAAUAAUAUAAAAAUGGGACUGAGAGGGCUCUGAACCUCUUCCCUCCUCUAGCAACCUGGAAGGGUUCAAGCCUGUAAUGCCAGAAUCCCCAGAGGAUGCUGUGGCCCCAGGGCAGGAGCAGCGGGGAGGCUGCUCCCCAUCACCCCAUGAAGCCGAGCUGCCAUGCAGAAAGCAAUGCAAGAUUUAUGAAGCUGUGGGGAGAAAGAGCAAGGGACUCUUCAUGUAUUUUUCAUGGGCUGAGCUGCAUAAAUAGCAUGCAAUGCAUAAACUGUGACUGGAUACUUACACAAAAAAAAAAAAA